GAACCGCUCCGGUGGCUUAGUGGUUAGAGCGUCCCCCUCGGAUACGGGAAGUCGUGGGUUCUAUCCCCGCUCGAUUCA
Potamilus streckersoni is the source of this 78-nucleotide non-coding RNA. The record is from the annotation of a GenBank genome assembly. NCBI's taxonomy places the organism in Eukaryota, Metazoa, Mollusca, Bivalvia, Unionida, Unionidae.